Clupea harengus (Atlantic herring) is the source of this 8746-nucleotide long non-coding RNA. NCBI's taxonomy places the organism in Eukaryota, Metazoa, Chordata, Actinopteri, Clupeiformes, Clupeidae. The record is from Ensembl.
GGGGUGGUGGUGGUGGUGUUUAGGGGUAUCUAGGGCGGGGUGUGGCAUGUCCAGGUGCUGAUCUAGGGCCUCUGACAGCUGAGUAUGGGAGUCUAUGAUUAGCCUAUGGAGGGGAGGGGAGGGGGCCCGCAUACACGCCCCCCUGCGUGCCUGCUAUCAUUUAAUGUCAGCAGGGAUUUUCACCAUUUUUAUUCCAAAGACGUGGGCAAAUACUGUCAUCGUACAGUCAUGUCUUGUUUCUAUCAGUAUUCCUUAUCUCUUUCUCUUUUUCUCUCCAUCGCUGUUGUGGUCACUCAACAAAUCCCCCCGCAACCCCUGAGCCUCGUCUCUCCUUCCUGCAUCAUCAAUCUCCAGUCUCCCUCCCCUCCAACCCCUCCCUCUGUCACACUCGUGCUGUUCUCUCCCUCUUUCGCUCCCUCUUUCCCUCUCUCUCUCUCUCCUUAUCUGGACAGUUCUGCUCUCCGUGCCUCUCUGCUGGUCGCUUGCCCCCGACCCACAUCGACCCCCUACCUACCCCCUACCUACCAGUCUGAACAACACAGUGAGGGCCAGGGAGGCCUCCUGCUCACCAGUAUAUGUCACAUCACAUCACGUCCUGUCACACUGCUCUACUGGACCGCUCGUGUCCCCCCGGUUUAGCGCACCAUUAUCUACUAUAUGAAUCCUUCUGCUUUCCUAAUUGGCACGCGUAUAGAUAGCACAGGCUGAGGCUGAUGAGGCCUUUUCAAAGCAACCAGUGGAGGACAAAUAUUUCAACUUUAUAUAAAAAUAAAUCAAAAUAAAAAAAUAUUUAAAAAACAAAGUAAUGCUUAGGAGUACAUCUCUCUCUCUCUCUCUCUCCCUCUAUCCCUUUUUCUCUCUAUCGCUCUUUCUCAUAUCUCACUUUCACAGCCAUCUCGACAUGAGGGCUCUUCUCCUGCCGUGUGAGAGCUUUGCUGCUGCAGAGAGUUUCCCCCUCUAUUAUACGCGGCCCUGGGGAUAGAUCUACAGCAAGGAGGGCUGCUCAGGCACCACCGCCCAAAUGCCAUUUAAACACCAGGCCUAGUGUUCAGAGUUGUUUUUUAGAACACGGUGUGUGUGUGUAUGUGUGUAUGUGUGUGUGUGUGUGUGUGUGUGUGAGUGAGUGAGACAGGAAAAGAGCAAGAGAGAGUGGGUGUGUGUGUGUAAGUCUUUGUAUGAGUGCGUGUGUCUUUGUUUUUCGUACGUGUGUGUGUGUGUAUGUGUGUGUGUGUGUGCCUGUGCUGUGUGAUUAUCACUUCCUGCCUCGUGUGCUGUUUAGCGAGGGUCGCCCCCUGCCACCCGCCUGCCACUCCUCUCCCUGCCUUCACGACACGGGGUCACCGAUCACCUUUUAAUUAAUCAGCCGGCUAAUUAAUCUAAUUGAACUCCACCAUGGAAUCGCAUUGACCCGCACCUGCUCUGGCAGCAAACUUUAACAAGCCGGGGACAUGUUUGUUUCUUUAUUUAUUUUGUUUGUUUAUUUAUUUACCUCCCGCUCAUUAUAUUUACCUAUUGGGAAGUCGCUUCGGCAGUAGUUAAUGCAAAAGCCAUACUGAGCAAGAAACUGUGGACCCAAGAGGCCCGCAUAUUGGGAGCUGGGCCUAGUAGCUCCACGCAAAGCCUGGGACUUGAGUAUGUGUGGUGCCCUCCCCUCCCUCCACCGCCCACCCCACCUAGCUGCCUCUGUGGAGUAGCUGGUGUCAGGGGAGCAGGAGGAGUUAUUGCUGCAGUGCGUUGGAGUGCUGGCUCCUCUCCUCUCCUCUCCCCCUGCAUUCGGACGUGAGCGCUGCCCAGGCCCCUGACUCAGCACUAUUCCGCGUCCUCAUUGGCUGAUCCAGGAUGAAGACGGUACAGUACGGCGAGCCUUGAUGACACUCCUUGUAAAAAAAAAGGGGAAGAAUCGACUUCUUACGACUGCCUUUCCAUAAAUCUCACGGCUGUUUUGUAGAGGGAUUGGCUUCUUUGUAUUCAUCUGGGUCUAUUUUAUCUUUUGGGGGAAUUUAAACGGAAAAGCCUACAGCGCAUAAUUAACUGUGAUCACACUAUGAGGAUUACCUUGUGAUUAUUGGCAUCUUUAUUUCUUAAAUCUUUCAGAAUGAUUUAAUUCUCAAAGCGGUUUUAUUUCUUAACCUUUUAAUCUAAUGGUAACACCCUUUAAAGAAAUCAAUAGCAAUUUAGAUGAUUUAUUUAUUUAUUUGCCUCUCUCGUCUACCUCUAUGAUUCUUCUUCCUCGUCUCUUUCUCUCUCGCUUUUCCCCUCUUUUUUUACUCUCCCUCAGCCUCAGAGAAUAUGUUGUGUUCAUCCAUAACGUGAACAUGGCCUGCUAGUGUUGAGAGACUUUGGACAGAAACAUAUGUGGGGCCCAGGACAUUGCAAUCAGGCGCGACGGCAGUUUACAGAAGAACACAGUGUUUUUCUUUGGAGCAGUGAUUGUCUGCGGGUGUGAUUUCAGUGCGGCUUUGAGUUUUGCGGCAGGGCAUUUAUACCGAUGUGGCAGGUUAGGGGUGGGGUGUGGCGGGGCAUUUAUACCGAUGUGGCACGUUAGGGGUGUGGCGGGGCAUUUAUACCGAUGUGGCACGUUAGGGGUGGGGUGUGGCGGGGGAGGUUGGGGUUGGCGAGGACGAGACAGUGUAAAAAUCUUUAUGGCUGCAGAGGAGAGGAGGCACCUUUAAAAAAAUAAAUGAAUAAAAACAAACAGCAGGUAUCCAUAUGACAUCAAGCAGCCACUGCCAACCUGGAGACUGUGGCCUUCGUCGCACACACACACACAACACACAACACACAGAGACUGAAAACACACAUACACUAGAGAAACACACCCACACACACACACACCCACACACACACACACACACACACACACACACACACACACACACACACACACACACACACACACACACACACACACACACACACUCCAACACAGGUUGUGAGUAAUGGAGCUUCUUUCCUCUUAAUGCCCUCGAUUACUGCCUCGGGGUCAGGCGCUUAACUCAGAGCGGAGGAAGAACAGAGAGAGACAGAGCGAGAGGAGGACGAGUGUGAGGCCGGGCGGCCUUCUCUAAACGGAUAGAGUAGAGUGGUGGGGUGUGGAGAGAGGAGAGAUGUAAACUCAGCAGAAGGAGGUUUUUUCCAUGGAAACGCUACCGCAUGAAAUGGGUGGAGGGUGCGGGAGGCUGGGCGGGGACGCAUAGCUUUAGGGGACACAUCAGACAGCGGUGGGGACGCAUAGCUUUAGGGGACACAUCAGACAGCGGUGGAGACGCAAAGCUCUGAGCAAGGGGUUUUCAGAGGGUGGUGAUGUCAUAAGGUGGCGUUGGGUGAUGAUGUCACGCGUGUGUGCUGCAUCUCUGGCGUCAAAGUAAGUAACUGCAGCUGAUGCGCUCGCUCUCUCUCUCCCUCCCUCUUUCUCUCUCCCUCCCUCUUUCAUUUUCUCUCUCUCUUUCUCUCUCUCUUACUCUCUCCUUCUCUCCCUCUCUCCGUCUCUCCUCUGCACCCUGAUGCGGACUAAUUCACACCCUGAGCAUGAACCUCUACCCCUCCCUGUUUUUAAUGACGACCCAACACAAUAUUUGAAUCAUGUAUUCAUUACCACGCGUAGAAAAAGAACAAAAGAGUGUGUGUGUGUGUGUGUGUGUGUGUGUGUGUGUGUGUUUGUGUGUGUGUGUGUGAGAGAGAGACAGAGAGGGUGGAUGGAGGGGUUCACUACCCAUUUGCUCUCUGAAAAGUGAGAUAAAGAAUGAAAGAGAAAGAAAGAACAACAGCGCAGCGUAGCGCGUGUGAGUGAGGGGAGCCACGGGGCAGGAAACAGAUCGGCCUGACAGGCUUACUAUUGUUCCCGCGGCGGCGCUUCUUUGUAAUGCCACCGACCGCACUCACCCCCCCGGCCUCCGACGGAGACGCUAUUAAAGCCGCCCGCCUUGCAAAACCGCUGCCACUCACUCACACCCACACACACACACACACACACACACACACACACACAGACGGCCUCGGUCGAGGCCAAACCCAUCGAACGCUGUGCAAAUCUGAGCCACUCCUGGCCUGCCUGUCAGUCUCUGUCUCUCUGUCUCUAUCUCUGAGUCGUCUUACACACACUACACUCACACAGUUCAGCUGAUUCAGCCUCACGCUGCCUCUGAGAAACACACUCUCACACACGCUGUACAGGUGGACAAAAUGAUUCUGGGGAACUUACUGGCAAAGGUUUACAGAGGAGUGUACCCUGACUAGACCACUGUGUUUAUGCACUUUGAAGUCCCUAAUAGAAUAGAAAUGAAGUUUGAUCAUUUUCUUGUCGUCAUGCCAACAAUAGAAUUGUACACUGCUGUGAUAUGUUUAAUUUUACACACACCUCGUGUGUGUGUGCGUGUGUGUGUGUGUGUGUGUGUGUGAGAGAGGAGAGAUUAGGUGAGGUGUGGAGUGACUGUAGAGGGCUGCUGUGGCUGCAGCAGAGGUCAGUGGCACGUGAUGUUCCCAAUCAGCCCAUGGUCUGUCAAAACACCACCCCUUAUCACACACUCUGCAUGCACGCUCUCACUCUGGGCUUAAUGCGGUAUGUGCAUGCAAGCACGCGCGCACACACAUACAGACACACACACUCACACAUAUGGAUACACAGACAUACGCACACUCACUCACUAUCUCAUACACACACAAACAGACACACAAACACUCACUUCCCCUCUCCCACACACACAUAGACACACACACACUGGCAAAUAGGUGCAGCAUAUGGUAACUUCUCUGAAUCCUUGCCACUGUCAAACACAUAUUUUUUCUGUCAUUAAUUGCUUGUCCUCCCUCUUUACCUCUCUCCCUCCCUCCCUCCUACCUCUCACUCUCUCUCUCUCUCUGUCGCUCCCUCUUUCUAUCUCUUAAACUCUCUCUGUCUCUCUCCGUACUUUUCUUUAUGACUGUGCGGCAGCCAGCCCAGUCCUUCCACUCACCUUCAAAUCCCCUUCAGAGACCUUGCACACGGAGCCUCCUACCUCAGACAUGCCACACUGCUCCCUUAUCACCUCCUCUCUCUCUCUCUCUCUCUCUCUCUCUCUCUCACACACACACACACUUUCUCUCUCUCUCACACACACACACAGACACACAGAUACACACACACUCAUAGACACACACACACUCACUGUCCUCUGGCCAUUUCCCUGCUGCUGGCCCAGCGCAGGCAGGCGGCGUGUUAAUGUUUUAUAUUCUGUGUAAUUCACUGUGAGGUCCCUAAGCCGUUUUUGAACACUUCUGCCUUUUGGCGUGGCGAUAGUCACGCUACUUUGGCCUGAAAGUGCCAAAUGUGCAACUUCUUCCCUCCCCGGCGCCAUACUUCCUCUCGCCCGCUAUCGCUGCCGCUGCCGCUGCCACUGCCGCUGCCGCUUCAUGCCGAUUCAGCUGCCUGUCUUCAGCCUGAUCCUCAGCCUCUCCCCACCACCCCUGCAUGUAUAUUAAUGUUAGGGGCCGCCGUUACUCUCAAGUGCCUGUGCACAGUUGGUCCCGGUCAGAGUGUGUAACUCUUUACCAGCAUCAAUAGUUCAUGCAGGACAUCUCUCCUCUUUUCCUCUCCUUCUGUGUGUGUGUGUGUAUGUGUGUGUGUGUGUGUGUGUGUGUGACGUGUGUGUCUUUAUCUCUCUGGCUGCUCCUCUACGCUAGCCCUCGCCCUCUCCGACUCUCUCAUCUCCUUUCCCACAACCCCUCCUGUCUCCGAUCACGUCAUUCUGCCUGCCUUUCUUCUAUCACUCCCUCUUAUCCUCCACCACCCUUGUUCUCUCCUUUUUCCCUCCUCGCCCCUCAUCUCAAUCUCUCAUCCCCUCAUCUCUCGCCCUCUUCAUCUCCUUCUCCUAUUUACCAGAAGUGGUGCUCUCUCCUCUCUCUCUCUCUCUCUCUCUCUCUCUCUUUAUCCAUCAGUCGUCCAUUCCUCCCUCUCUGCUCCCAGCUCUUAGCUUAAAGCCAGUGGCAGCAGUGGAAUGUUAACGAGUCUCUCCCUGACACUGCACUCCUAAAGCCGGUGUGUGUGUGUGUGUGUGUGUGUGUGUGUGUGUGUGUGUGUGUGUGUGUGUGUGUGUGUGUGUGUGUUGUUUGUGUGUAUGUACUAUCUAAAUUUGUGCUUGUAUGAGUGUGUGAUCUAUUUCCGUGUGUGAGUGUGAUUUUGCGUGUAUACACAGGUAUAUAUGUGUGUGUGUGUGCGUGUGCGAGGGUGCUAGUGGCUGUGUCUCGGCCGCGUGUAGGGUCUCCUUUCACCUGUGCAGCUGUUCUGAUAUUCCGUCUGCACAGCACUCCCAGCUGCUGCUCCCAAUUACCCCCCUACACAUACACACACCCAUACACUCCACACCCACAUACGCAGAAAUAUACACACAUACAUACAUACACACAAUACUACUUCUAUCAGUGAUACAGAAGGGAGGGCAAAUUCACAAGGCCGCACACAGACACAAACACACUUCUAUUUUACACCCAGACAGGCUCUGCAAAUAAUCACCCUGGCCUUCUGACUCCCUUCAGGCUACCCUUCACACACACAGUCUACUCCUGCAGGAUGCUCCUGCCCUGUCCCCUGCAUUACGGAUGUGCCUGUUCUGGCUAGUUUCGAAUCCGCUUUUAUUCCAACCGUAAAUAUUUCCUUUUACCCGCUGGUAGUAAUAACAGUAUAAAAGGUGUUUGCAGAGAAAAUAUUGCUGAAUCUGCAGUUGCCGGCGAGAUGGAGAAUUCUCCCACGGAAUUGCCGGCGCUUCAGGGCGGUAAGUGAACAUGAAUUUCAGAGAGAAUUUGGCAGCUUAAAAUAUAUAAAUGAACCACAAUUAGCUGUGUGUUAACUACAUUGUUAUUACAGAUUAAUAACACGGUCUGGGUGUAAUGUGGUCAUUAGAUGUUGAGAAGCAGCUCUGCAGCACACACACACACACUCUCACACACACACACACACACAUACACAGCUGUGUACAGCAACAUUCCAAUCAGCACAGAAAUUGCAACUGAGACGUCUGUGUUUUUUUUCCCCUUCCACCAACAUUGACAAGAGGAUGCCUCCAUUGCAGUGCCCUUGUUCUUUUAAUUACUUCCUCUUGGUGUACAGCUCGGCUGAAUGUUAAUUAUCCAUUGCGCUUAGGAAGUUUCGGGAAGCUCACCCAGCCGAUGCUGGGGAGAGUGGGAAACGGGGUGGGAAGGAAAAAGGUGUGUCCAGGACCCGCUGAUGGAUGGCUCAGGACUUUAAAGGUCCAGCACGCCUUUGCCUCUGUCACGGCAUGGCAUGGCAUGGCAUGGCAUGGCAUUAAAAAAUAACGACACACUGGGCUUUGCUCCGACAAAUAUAGUCGUAAUUACAGGAUAUUCUGAGUGUAAUUGUGUCAAUAAGUUUCCUCUCUGACAUUUGGGCACUGACAUUUUUCUGCAGCUCAGCAAAAAAACUGCGAAAUAUAGGCAGCCAUUAGGAGUCCAGCUGUGAUCGCUGCCAUGCUCCGAAUCCACACAGUAAUUAUGGAUCGUCACUCUCGCCCUGUCUCAACAACCCCCUCCCUCUUUCUCUGUGUGUGUGUGUGUGUGAGAGAGAGAGUUUAUGAGUGUGUGCGUGUUUGUGUGUGUCCCUCAUGUCUGAUCAUGUAUGGCCUGAUGUUCCAGGGGCUUAAAUGUGAGCAGAUGUCGCUUUAAUUGAUUAGGCAAUAUUACACGCGCAUUGAUCCUGGUUUUAGAGUUCCGAUGGUGCGCCGCACAAGAGGAAGUGAGGCGGGAGAGGACAGCCGGGAAGACGCCUCGUGUGCUGACCCACAGGCUCGCUGUCUGACCAGCGUGCAAUCCAUCCACCACGCCUCACCAGCCAAUCAAUCAAUCAAUCAAUCAGGUAGCUAAUUUAUUGCACUCGAUUUGCACAAUGGUCUUAAGAAAGAACAAAAACAAAGAUGUCCUCUGCAAAAUGACGUCGUGCUUUAGGUGCAGCUAUGGAGGUGGAACUGUACACUUCAGCAUCUUUAAAUGUAAUGGGUUUAUUGGUGAUGUGUAUAUUCCGCAAAAAAAUGUUUCAGUCCCAGCACUCUAUUUCAACUUAAUUUGAGUAAUAUUCUAGUUGUAGUCUAGUAUAGUUGUAAAAGUUCCCAGAAAUGUGUGGAAUCAGAUGUGUGUGUUGUGUGUUCUUGUGCCUCCAUGAAACGAAGACAUCAGAACACACAAAAACAAAUUAAAAUACUAUUACAAAAAAGUAUAAAAAUCUUUUUUUUGUGCACUAAUGGUUUAUGAAAGACCACCUGAAACUAUUAGCUGUGCUUCCCCCCUCCUCUGAGUAAUAUGUAUUCAGAUAAUUUGAACUCUGAGCUAUGGCAGUGCUUCUCCUCUCUCAGGGUGUAAUUUCACUUUCUUAAUGUAUUCAUUGCCAUAUCACUGUUUGGCUCCCCAGGGAAGCACCUCACUGUAGAGGACACCCAACUCAAAUUCUGCUUGAUUGACUGAUGGAUGGGGCUGCCGGGAUGACUAAGGGCUUCUGCAAAGCAUGCUGGGUAAGACACCAAAGACAGGGAAAUAUAUGGAUGGAGAGAAGGAGAGGGCGAGGCAGAGAGAAAGAGAGAGAUGGAAAGAUGGGCAAAGCAGAAGAGACAGUGAUAGCGAGAGACCUUGCCUGUCCUUUAUGUUUUCCUGACCUCCACUUUGUCCUUUGUGUGUUUAUAGGUGACCUCUAGGGCCUCUUUCCUCCCCUCUCCCCUCUUUCCCUGAUCUCACCCCAACCCUUACACCCUGCCUUGAACCCCCCCUC